GGGGAUUUAGCUCAGUGGUAGAGCACUUGCCUAGCAAGCGCAAGGCCCUGGGUUCGAUCCCCAGUUCCG
Molecule: transfer RNA, 69 nt
Filed under: Rattus norvegicus (Norway rat)
Lineage: Eukaryota; Metazoa; Chordata; Mammalia; Rodentia; Muridae
Rfam family: tRNA
About the family: Transfer RNA (tRNA) molecules are approximately 80 nucleotides in length. Their secondary structure includes four short double-helical elements and three loops (D, anti-codon, and T loops). Further hydrogen bonds mediate the characteristic L-shaped molecular structure. tRNAs have two regions of fundamental functional importance: the anti-codon, which is responsible for specific mRNA codon recognition, and the 3' end, to which the tRNAs corresponding amino acid is attached (by aminoacyl-tRNA synthetases). tRNAs cope with the degeneracy of the genetic code in two manners: having more than one tRNA (with a specific anti-codon) for a particular amino acid; and 'wobble' base-pairing, i.e. permitting non-standard base-pairing at the 3rd anti-codon position.
Source: Rfam by way of RNAcentral